GGCUUAAAGUUUGAUCAUGGCUCAGGAUGAACGCUGGCGGCGUGCCUAAUACAUGCAAGUCGAGCGAAGCGCUUGCCUUUGAUCCUUCGGGUGAAGAGGCUUGUGACUGAGCGGCGGACGGGUGAGUAACACGUAGGGAACCUGCCUCACACAGGGGGAUAACAGUUAGAAAUGACUGCUAAUACCGCAUAAGCGCACAGGACCGCAUGGUCUGGUGUGAAAAGCUCCGGCGGUGUGAGAUGGACCUGCGUCUGAUUAGCCAGUUGGCGGGGUAACGGCCCACCAAAGCGACGAUCAGUAGCCGGCCUGAGAGGGUGGACGCCACAUUGGGACUGAGACACGGCCCAGACUCCUACGGGAGGCAGCAGUAGGGAAUAUUGCACAAUGGGGGAAACCCUGAUGCAGCGACGCCGCGUGAGCGAAGAAGUAUCUCGGUAUGUAAAGCUCUAUCAGCAGGGAAGAAGAUGACGGUACCUGACUAAGAAGCACCGGCUAAAUACGUGCCAGCAGCCGCGGUAAUACGUAUGGUGCAAGCGUUAUCCGGAUUUACUGGGUGUAAAGGGAGCGUAGACGGAAGAGCAAGUCUGGAGUGAAAGCCCGGGGCUCAACCCCGGGACUGCUUUGGAAACUGUUUAUCUAGAGUGCCGGAGAGGCAAGCG
RNAcentral lists this ribosomal RNA (659 nucleotides) under uncultured organism. RNAcentral's name for it is "bacterial SSU rRNA". It matches the Rfam family "Bacterial small subunit ribosomal RNA", at positions 1 to 663 of the family's 1533-position model. The record is from RNAcentral.